GGGGGACCCUGAUCCAGCCAUGCCGCGUGUGUGAAGAAGGCCUUUUGGUUGUAAAGCACUUUAAGCAGUGAAGAAGACUCCGUGGUUAAUACCCACGGACGAUGACAUUAGCUGCAGAAUAAGCACCGGCUAACUCUGUGCCAGCAGCCGCGGUAAUACAGAGGGUGCAAGCGUUAAUCGGAAUUACUGGGCGUAAAGGGAGCGUAGGUGGCUCUAUAAGUCAGAUGUGAAAUCCCCGGGCUUAACCUGGGAACUGCAUCUGAAACUGUAGAGCUAGAGUAUGUGAGAGGAAGGUAGAAUUCCAGGUGUAGCGGUGAAAUGCGUAGAGAUCUGGAGGAAUACCGAUGGCGAAGGCAGCCUUCUGGCAUAAUACUGACACUGAGGCUCGAAAGCGUGGGUAGCAAACAGGAUUAGAUACCCUGGUAGUCCACGCCGUAAACGAUGUCUACUAGUCGUUGGGUCCCUUGAGGACUUAGUGACGCAGCUAACGCAAUAAGUAGACCGCCUGGGGAGUACGGCCGCAAGGUUAAAACUCAAAUGAAUUGACGGGGGCCCGCACAAGCGGUGGAGCAUGUGGUUUAAUUCGAUGCAACGCGAAGAACCUUACCUGGUCUUGACAUAUCUAGAAUCCUGCAAAGAUGCGGGAGUGCCUUCGGGAAUUAGAAUACAGGUGCUGCAUGGCUGUCGUCAGCUCGUGUCGUGAGAUGUUGGGUUAAGUCCCGCAACGAGCGCAACCCUUGUCCUUAGUUACCAGCGGGUUAAGCCGGGAACUCUAAGGAUACUGCCAGUGACAAACUGGAGGAAGGCGGGGACGACGUCAAGUCAUCAUGGCCCUUA
Molecule: ribosomal RNA, 837 nt
Filed under: Psychrobacter fozii
Lineage: Bacteria; Pseudomonadati; Pseudomonadota; Gammaproteobacteria; Moraxellales; Moraxellaceae
Description: bacterial SSU rRNA
Rfam family: Bacterial small subunit ribosomal RNA
Source: RNAcentral